GACGAACGCUGGCGGCGUACUUAACACAUGCAAGUCGAACGGAAAGGCCCUGCUUUUGUGGGGUGCUCGAGUGGCGAAAGGGUGAGUAACACGUGAGUAACCUGCCCUUGACUUUGGGAUAACUUCAGGAAACUGGGGCUAAUACCGGAUAGGAGCUCCUGCUGCAUGGUGGGGGUUGGAAAGUUUCGGCGGUUGGGGAUGGACUCGCGGCUUAUCAGCUUGUUGGUGGGGUAGUGGCUUACCAAGGCUUUGACGGGUAGCCGGCCUGAGAGGGUGACCGGCCACAUUGGGACUGAGAUACGGCCCAGACUCCUACGGGAGGCAGCAGUGGGGAAUAUUGCACAAUGGGCGGAAGCCUGAUGCAGCAACGCCGCGUGCGGGAUGACGGCCUUCGGGUUGUAAACCGCUUUCGCCUGUGACGAAGCGUGAGUGACGGUAAUGGGUAAAGAAGCACCGGCUAACUACGUG
Molecule: ribosomal RNA, 468 nt
Filed under: uncultured bacterium
Lineage: Bacteria
Description: partial 16S ribosomal RNA
Rfam family: Bacterial small subunit ribosomal RNA
Source: RNAcentral